Non-coding RNA from Phrynosoma platyrhinos (Desert horned lizard), 76 nucleotides. NCBI's taxonomy places the organism in Eukaryota, Metazoa, Chordata, Lepidosauria, Squamata, Phrynosomatidae. The record is from the annotation of a GenBank genome assembly.
UCCAAUGUGGCAUAGUGGUUUAAGUACUGGACUAUGACUCUGGAGACCAGGUUCGAUUCCCAGCUUGGCCAUGGAA